RNAcentral lists this ribosomal RNA (406 nucleotides) under uncultured bacterium. RNAcentral describes it as "partial 16S ribosomal RNA". It matches the Rfam family "Bacterial small subunit ribosomal RNA", at positions 30 to 526 of the family's 1533-position model. The record is from RNAcentral.
AUUGAACGCUGGCGGCAGGCCUAACACAUGCAAGUCGAACGAGUGGCGGACGGGUGAGUAAUGUCUGGAAAACUGCCCGAUGGAGGGGGAUAACUACUGGAAACGGUAGCUAAUACCGCAUACCAUCGGAUGUGCCCAGAUGGGAUUAGCGAGUAGGUGGGGUAACGGCUCACAGAGGCGACGAGCCCUAGCUGGUCUGAGAGGAUGACCAGCCAGACUGGAAUUGAUACACGGUCCAGACUCCUACGGUAGGCAGCAGAGGGGAAUAUUGCAAAAUGGGCGCAAGCCUGAUGCAGCCAUGCCGCGUGUAUGAAGAAGGCCUUCGGGUUGUAAAGUACUUUCAGCGAGGAGGCGUUACUCGCAGAAGAAGCAUCGGCUAACUCCGUGCCAGCGGCCGCGGUAAUAC